CAUGCAUGUCUAAGUAUAAGCACUUAUACCGUGAAACUGCGAAUGGCUCAUUAAAUCAGUUAUCGUUUAUUUGAUAGUACCUUUACCUGGAUAACCGUGGUAAUUCUAGAGCUAAUACAUGCUAAAAACCCCGACUUCGGGAGGGGUGUAUUUAUUAGAUAAAAAACCAAUGCCCUUCGGGGCUCCUUGGUGAUUCAUAAUAACUUAACGAAUCGCAUGGCCUUGCGCCGGCGAUGGUUCAUUCAAAUUUCUGCCCUAUCAACUUUCGAUUGUAGGAUAGAGGCCUACAAUGGUCUUAACGGGUAACGGGGAAUUAGGGUUCUAUUCCGGAGAGGGAGCCUGAGAAACGGCUACCACAUCCAAGGAAGGCAGCAGGCGCGCAAAUUACCCAAUCCCGAUACGGGGAGGUAGUGACAAUAAAUACUGAUACGGGGCUCUUUCGGGUCUCGUAAUUGGAAUGAGUACAAUCUAAAUCCCUUAACGAGGAACAAUUGGAGGGCAAGUCUGGUGCCAGCAGCCGCGGUAAUUCCAGCUCCAAUAGCGUAUAUUAAAGUUGUUGCCGUUAAAAAGCUCGUAGUUGAACCUUGGCCCUGGCUGAUCUGUCCUCCUAAUCGAGCGCACGGAUUCGGUCGGGGCUUUCCUUCUGGGGAGCCCCAUGCCCUUCACUGGGUGUGGCGGGGAACCAGGACUUUUACCUUGAAAAAAUUAGAGUGUUCAAAGCAGGCCUUUGCUCGAAUACAUUAGCAUGGAAUAAUAGAAUAGGACAUCGGUUCUAUUUUGUUGGUUUCUAGGACCGCUGUAAUGAUUAAUAGGGACAGUCGGGGGCGUCAGUAUUCAAUUGUCAGAGGUGAAAUUCUUGGAUUUAUUGAAGACUAACUACUGCGAAAGCAUUCGCCAAGGAUGUUUUCAUUAAUCAGUGAACGAAAGUUAGGGGAUCGAAGACGAUCAGAUACCGUCGUAGUCUUAACCAUAAACUAUGCCGACUAGGGAUCGGACGGUGGUUUUUUAUGCCCCGUUCGGCACCUUACGAGAAAUCAAAGUUUUUGGGCUCGGGGGGGA
This 1059-nucleotide ribosomal RNA is filed under the name Exophiala lapidea. RNAcentral's name for it is "SSU rRNA". It matches the Rfam family "Eukaryotic small subunit ribosomal RNA", at positions 50 to 1122 of the family's 1831-position model. Lineage: Eukaryota; Fungi; Ascomycota; Eurotiomycetes; Chaetothyriales; Herpotrichiellaceae. The record is from RNAcentral.